RNAcentral lists this long non-coding RNA (1418 nucleotides) under Sus scrofa (pig). Its description in RNAcentral is "lncRNA (ENSSSCG00065036481.1)". Lineage: Eukaryota; Metazoa; Chordata; Mammalia; Artiodactyla; Suidae. The record is from RNAcentral.
CCCUCCUUUCCUUCCUUCCAUCCUUCCUCCCUUCCUUUUAGUAUGUUAUUAAUCUUUGCUGGUAAUCUAACAAACUUGUUGUAAACCAUGAAAAUACCCUAAGUUCCUUGAGGCUCUACUCUAACAGAACUGGUGGAUGAGAAUCUUUGGAAGAUCAUGAGUUGGCCAAUUGAAACUCUUCCUCAGUAAUGAAUGUGGAGAGUGGCAGGAAGGAAAGCACAUGCAUCCCGACCCAGUGAGGAUGGUGGCUAGGACCUAUUUUCAAUUACAUGAAAUCAGAAGCAGACUUACCAGACGCUCUUGCUUUAUGAAGUGGGUAUGGCCUAUGCUUUUUACUUCUCAAGUUGGGUGGAAUCCAGGUGGAUAUGUAGGAAUUUUCAGUAACCCAUUAGAACAUAAUUGAUUCAUAUUAUUCUCCCUCUCAGGCCGUUUAUGGAGGAAAAAAAAAAACUUUGGUUUAUUUCUCCUUUGAGUGAGGAAGAUAAAAUGAAACAAAGCCAAACAAGCAUCUGAAAUCCAAUCAUUAAAAUGACAACUUAAGAGUUUUGCAAAGUGAAAAAAUAUUUGCAUACAUUUGAGAACGUGGCUAUGGAAUUAAGACUGAGGGGCGAGCUGAUGUGUCCCUACUAAACUCAAAUAUAUAUGAAGAGAGAGAAAGCAGCAUUUCUCAGGCCAACUUUUUAAGGCUCAUGCCCCACCAGCAAAGAAGUUAUUGGCAAGCUUUAUUUUCAAAGUUUGUAUUAUGAAAGCAAUGCAUUUCAUUUUCUAAAUAGGACACUGUAUUAUAAUAUUUAAUGUGCUUUUUCAAAAUACUGUUCCUUGACUCUACACCCUGUAUUGUUCCCUUCUACCCCUCCCCCUCUGCUUGAGGGUCACUGAACGAUACAAUUCAAGUGCCUUACUUAUAAUACUAUGCGUCUACAGCUGAUUCUGGCAAAACUUCUCAGGAUAUUCUCUGCAGGAAGUCCAAGAACAAACUUUGCUAUGUUAAAGAAAGUAAGGAAAGGUUUGGUAUUUCUUUAAAAAUACAGGAGUUCUUGUCAUGGCUCAGUGGUAAUGAACCCAAAUAGUACCCAUGAGGACGUGGGUUCAAUCCCUGGCCUUGCUCAUCGGAUUCAUUCACUGAGCCACAAUGGGAACUCCAGGAUUAUGUUUCUUGAUGAGACAUUUUUUAAAAAUUGUCACUGACACUAAUUAUGUUGUGUGGGAUCCAUGUGAUUCGAGUGGGCUAUUGAUAAUGUGAUUUGGGGCUGUACAAGAUCUUUCAUUUUGCUCUCCCAAGUCACAAAGAGAAGCUUCUAAUUUUAUGUAUUAUGUCUAGUGGCUAAAAAAUAGCUCAUAGGAAAAUGAGGGAACAGGACACAAAGAGGCAAAUUUUUCCCAAGUCAAGAAUUACACCAAAACCAAGAAUUCUUCAC